GAAACUGCGAAUGGCUCAUUAAAUCAGUUAUCGUUUAUUUGAUAGUACCCUACUACAUGGAUACCUGUGGUAAUUCUAGAGCUAAUACAUGCGCAAAACCCCGACUUCGGAAGGGGUGUAUUUAUUAGAUAAAAAACCAAUGCCCUUCGGGGCUCCUUGGUGAUUCAUAAUAACUUAACGAAUCGCAUGGCCUUGCGCCGGCGAUGGUUCAUUCAAAUUUCUGCCCUAUCAACUUUCGAUGGUAGGAUAGUGGCCUACCAUGGUGGCAACGGGUAACGAGGAAUUAGGGUUCGAUUCCGGAGAGGGAGCCUGAGAAACGGCUACCACAUCCAAGGAAGGCAGCAGGCGCGCAAAUUACCCAAUCCCGAUCCGGGGAGGUAGUGACAAUAAAUACUGAUAUAGGGCUCUUUUGGGUCUUAUAAUUGGAAUGAGUACAAUCUAAAUCCCUUAACGAGGAACAAUUGGAGGGCAAGUCUGGUGCCAGCAGCCGCGGUAAUUCCAGCUCCAAUAGCGUAUAUUAAAGUUGUUGCAGUUAAAAAGCUCGUAGUUGAACCUUGGGCCCGUCCUGCCGGUCCGCCUCAC
This 582-nucleotide ribosomal RNA is filed under the name uncultured fungus. RNAcentral describes it as "SSU rRNA". It matches the Rfam family "Eukaryotic small subunit ribosomal RNA", at positions 83 to 668 of the family's 1831-position model. The record is from RNAcentral. Lineage: Eukaryota; Fungi.